GGGACUGAGACACGGCCCAGACUCCUACGGGAGGCAGCAGUGGGGGAUAUUGCACAAUGGGGGAAACCCUGAUGCAGCGACGCCGCGUGGAGGAAGAAGGUUUUCGGAUUGUAAACUCCUGUCGUUAGGGACGAUAAUGACGGUACCUAACAAGAAAGCACCGGCUAACUACGUGCCAGCAGCCGCGGUAAAACGUAGGUCACAAGCGUUGUCCGGAAUUACUGGGUGUAAAGGGAGCGCAGGCGGGCGAUCAAGUUGGAAGUGAAAUCCAUGGGCUCAACCCAUGAACUGCUUUCAAAACUGAUUGUCUUGAGUAGUGCAGAGGUAGGCGGAAUUCCCGGUGUAGCGGUGGGAAUGCGUAGAUAUCGGGAGGGAACACCAGUGGCGAAGGCGGCCUACUGGGCACCAACUGACGCUGAGGCUCGAAAGUGUGGGGUAGCAAACAGGAUUAGAUACCCCUGGUAGUCCACACCGUAAACGAUGAUUACUAGGUGUUGGAGGAUUGACCCCUUCAGUGCCGCAGUUAACACAAUAAGUAAUCCACCUGGGGAGUACGACCGCAAGGUUGAAACUCAAAGGAAUUGACGGGGGCCCGCACAAGCAGUGGAGUAUGUGGUUUAAUUCGACGCAACGCGAAGAACCUUACCAAGUCUUGACAUCCUGCGACGAUGCUAGAAAUAGUAUUUUCCUUCGGGACGCAGAGACAGGUGGUGCAUGGUUGUCGUCAGCUCGUGUCGUGAGAUGUUGGGUUAAGUCCCGCAACGAGCGCAACCCUUAUGGUCAGUUACUACGCAAGAGGACUCUGGCCAGACUGCCGUUGACAAAACGGAGGAAGGUGGGGAUGACGUCAAAUCAUCAUGCCCUUUAUGACUUGGGCUACACACGUACUACAAUGG
RNAcentral lists this ribosomal RNA (896 nucleotides) under uncultured Faecalibacterium sp. Its description in RNAcentral is "bacterial SSU rRNA". It matches the Rfam family "Bacterial small subunit ribosomal RNA", at positions 315 to 1233 of the family's 1533-position model. Lineage: Bacteria; Bacillati; Bacillota; Clostridia; Eubacteriales; Oscillospiraceae. The record is from RNAcentral.